UACAGAGGGUGCAAGCGUUAAUCGGAAUUACUGGGCGUAAAGCGUGCGUAGUCGGUUAUCUAAGUCGGAUGUGAAAUCCCCGGGCUCAACCUGGGAAUUGCAUUCGAUACUGGAUAGCUAGAGUUCGGCAGAGGGAAGUGGAAUUUCGGGUGUAGCGGUGAAAUGCGUAGAUAUCCGAAGGAACAUCAGUGGCGAAAGCGACUUCCUGGACCGGAACUGACGAUCAGGCACGAAAGCGUGGGGAGCAAACAGG
Molecule: ribosomal RNA, 253 nt
Filed under: uncultured bacterium
Lineage: Bacteria
Description: partial 16S ribosomal RNA
Rfam family: Bacterial small subunit ribosomal RNA
Source: RNAcentral